AUUGAACGCUGGCGGCAGGCCUAACACAUGCAAGUCGAGCGAGAAAGUCCUUCGGGGCGAGUACAGCGGCGGACGGGUGAGUAACGCGUAGGAAUCUACCUGGUAGUGGGGGACAACAUGGUGAAAACCAUGCUAAUACCGCAUACGCCCUAUGGGGGAAAGCGGGGGAUCUUCGGACCUCGCGCUAUCGGAUGAGCUUGCGUAGGAUUAGCUUGUUGGUGAGGUAAGAGCUCACCAAGGCGACGAUCCUUAGCUGGUCUGAGAGGAUGAUCAGCCACACUGGGACUGAGACACGGCCCAG
RNAcentral lists this ribosomal RNA (301 nucleotides) under uncultured bacterium. RNAcentral describes it as "bacterial SSU rRNA". It matches the Rfam family "Bacterial small subunit ribosomal RNA", at positions 30 to 334 of the family's 1533-position model. The record is from RNAcentral.